This 1673-nucleotide long non-coding RNA is filed under the name Heterocephalus glaber (naked mole-rat). Its description in RNAcentral is "lncRNA (ENSHGLG00100042924.1)". The record is from RNAcentral. Lineage: Eukaryota; Metazoa; Chordata; Mammalia; Rodentia; Bathyergidae.
CAGUCUGCUACUCGCUGUUGUUUUUCCAGUACCUUAUAUAGUGCUUGUCAUACAAGUUUUGCAAAACUGAACUGCUUCUGGAUAUUCUGAAAUACAAGAAUAGCAAGAGAUACUAUCCAAAGAAAAGCAUGAGGAACUUCACUGAGUGCUGACACUAUGCUCUUGGACUGGCAGCCUCUGGAACUGUGUACAGAGUUUGUCCUGGGAAAAUGUAUAGAUGCCAGCUGCAGUUUUACCUUUGGAAAGAAUGCCAAAUCGGUAAUCACAACAAAGCCUCUCCAAAGGAUCGAACUCAGGUCCUUGAACUUGCACAGCAGGCCGCGAAACCACUGAACUAAAUCCCUGGCCCAGGCUGAUGACCUUGAUGUGUUCAGGACCAAGGAGGUGAUGGAGAUUUUUCCUAAUCCAGAGGGGAAAAGAAAGACUGAUUUUCUUAUCGAAAUUCCAGUGUUCACAGAUAAAUUUUUGCUCCUUCUCUUUGCCUUUCAAAUGUACUGACUCUGAUCUCUACUUACAAGGGAUAACAGGAACCCUGUAAAUUAUGAUUAUAGUAUAAAGUACCUUCAUGCACUUUGUUUCAUGUGAUGCACAAUACUGUGUAAAGUGCUCACAUUUCAGCAUAGCAAAGCAUUUGAAAUGAAAGUGAAUUUGCAUAAAAUCACAUAGGAGAGUCAGGGUUGAAUUCAGAGCUUUGUAAUGCUGUUUUAGGUAUUCAAACAAAUUUCCUCAAUUUUAACAGGCAAAGUCUUAUGUUUACCUUGUCUGUUUCUAUGUAAAACCAAACAAACAAAAUUGGUAACACCUCGAUGGCUGAAAAUUGUGUUCUUCAUCCCCCUCUGGUAUUCCUUAGAUGUAUUCUAAGUAGGUAGAAUUCCCCUGGGAGAAAAUACAUCCUAAGAAGAAUAAACUCUUAUACACCUUAUCUCACCAAAAUAGAAAUAUAUUCUCACUGGGGAAAUGAUGUUUGCAGAAAUAAGUUUUGUUUGCUUAGUUUAAAUAAUUCCCUUUAACCAGUAUCACUAUUUCCCUGAAUAACACUUGUAGUAAUUUUUUUUCCUUAGACUUUUAAAAAGUCAAUAAAAUAAUUAAUUAAAACUGACACCUUUCUCUGUCCCUCAUCUUGACAAAAUAAAAAAGAAUUUAAAACUACUAUUUAGGCAUACUUCAAGUGUGGUUUAUACACUUUAAUAGUAGCUAAUGAUCCCUACCUGAAGGCAUAUGGUACCCAUAUGUAGGAGCAAAUGGGACCUUUUCUUCUUAGAUCCAACAUUUCUUUUCAGAUAAAGGUCAGUUAAGUCAUGAUCCUAGGAACCAGCCUAGUUUUCUCUCAUUUGUCUCUUAACCAGUCAUUCAGUCCUGUCUUUUCUAGUACCUGAAUGGAAGGCACACAGUCUAGUUUUGAACUAAUAUGCCCACAACUCUGAACCUAAUGUCACUCAAGCCAGUCUCUCAUUUGGACCACUGAAACUUAACUCUAGACCUCUUGUUUGUUAUCCCCCUGCCAGAAGAGUCAAGAAAGCUCAAAUGCCUUCUGUCACACAGGUGACUAAAACUGUCAAAUAGCUUUUAGGUGCACUCUGGAUGAAGCCCACACUUCUGACUGCUACCUGUCUUCUCCAUCCUCCCUUGUCUGUAUCUUCCUCACCUCUUCCCACACAUACUCUAGCACUGAU